This 253-nucleotide ribosomal RNA is filed under the name uncultured bacterium. Its description in RNAcentral is "partial 16S ribosomal RNA". It matches the Rfam family "Bacterial small subunit ribosomal RNA", at positions 524 to 776 of the family's 1533-position model. The record is from RNAcentral.
UACGUAGGGGGCUAGCGUUGUCCGGAAUCAUUGGGCGUAAAGAGCGUGUAGGCGGCCCGGUAAGUCCGCUGUGAAAGUCGGGGGCUCAACCCUCGGAUGCCGGUGGAUACUGUCGGGCUCGAGUACGGAAGAGGCGAGUGGAAUUCCUGGUGUAGCGGUGAAAUGCGCAGAUAUCAGGAGGAACACCUAUUGCGAAGGCAGCUCGCUGGGACGUUACUGACGCUGAGACGCGAAAGCGUGGGUAGCAAACAGG